GUUGUAUGGUUAAGUGACUAAGCGUACACGGUGGAUGCCUUGGCAGUCAGAGGCGAUGAAGGACGUAUUAACUUGCGAUAAGCCCAGAUUAGGCAGUAAAAGCCACUUGAGUCUGGGAUUUCCGAAUGGGGAAACCCACUAGCAUAAGCUAGUAUCAUUAACUGAAUACAUAGGUUAAUGAAGCGAACCGGGGGAACUGAAACAUCUAAGUACCCCGAGGAAGAGAAAUCAACCGAGAUUCCGGUAGUAGCGGCGAGCGAAACCGGAUUAGCCCUUAAGCUAGUUCUGCGUUAGGUGAAGGUUCUGGAAAGUUCCGCGAUACAGGGUGAUAGCCCCGUAACCAAAAACGCAUUAAUAGUGAAAUCGAGUAGGACGGGACACGUGAUAUCCUGUUUGAACAUGGGGGGACCAUCCUCCAAGGCUAAAUACUCCUGACUGACCGAUAGUGAACCAGUACCGUGAGGGAAAGGCGAAAAGAACCCCUGUGAGGGGAGUGAAAUAGAACCUGAAACCGUGUACGUACAAGCAGUAGGAGCCCACUUGUUGGGUGACUGCGUACCUUUUGUAUAAUGGGUCAGCGACUUAAUUUUAGUAGCAAGGUUAACCGUUUAGGGGAGCCGUAGGGAAACCGAGUCUUAACUGGGCGUCAUAGUUGCUAGGAUUAGACCCGAAACCGAGUGAUCUAGCCAUGGGCAGGUUGAAGGUGAGGUAACACUUACUGGAGGACCGAACCGACUAAUGUUGAAAAAUUAGCGGAUGACUUGUGGCUAGGGG
Molecule: ribosomal RNA, 774 nt
Filed under: Photobacterium phosphoreum
Lineage: Bacteria; Pseudomonadati; Pseudomonadota; Gammaproteobacteria; Vibrionales; Vibrionaceae
Description: bacterial LSU rRNA
Rfam family: Bacterial large subunit ribosomal RNA
Source: RNAcentral